RNAcentral lists this ribosomal RNA (253 nucleotides) under uncultured bacterium. RNAcentral describes it as "partial 16S ribosomal RNA". It matches the Rfam family "Bacterial small subunit ribosomal RNA", at positions 524 to 776 of the family's 1533-position model. The record is from RNAcentral.
UACGGAGGAGGCAAGCGUUAUCCGGAAUUAUUGGGCGUAAAGCGUCCGUAGGUGGUUUUUCAAGUCAGUUGUUAAAGCGUGGAGCUUAACUCCAUAAGGGCAAUUGAAACUGAGAGGCUAGAGUGCGAUAGGGGCAAGGGGAAUUCCCAGUGUAGCGGUGAAAUGCGUAGAUAUUGGGAAGAACAUCGGUGGCGAAAGCGCCUUGCUGGGUCUGCACUGACACUGAGGGACGAAAGCUAGGGGAGCGAAAGGG